AUACGUAGGGGCCAAACGUUGUCCGGAUUUAUUGGGCGUAAAGGGCUCGUAGGCGGUUUAACAAGUCGGUCGUGAAAGCCCGGGGCUCAACCCCGGGACGCCGGUCGAAACUGUUAUGACUAGGGUCCGGUAGAGGUGAGUGGAAUUCUCGGUGUAGCGGUGGAAUGCGCAGAUAUCGAGAGGAACACCAGUAGCGAAGGCGGCUCACUGGGCCGGUACCGACGCUGAGGAGCGAAAGCAUGGGGAGCAAACAGGAUUAGAAACCCCAGUAGUCC
RNAcentral lists this ribosomal RNA (275 nucleotides) under uncultured bacterium. RNAcentral's name for it is "partial 16S ribosomal RNA". It matches the Rfam family "Bacterial small subunit ribosomal RNA", at positions 523 to 796 of the family's 1533-position model. The record is from RNAcentral.